This 277-nucleotide ribosomal RNA is filed under the name uncultured bacterium. RNAcentral's name for it is "partial 16S ribosomal RNA". It matches the Rfam family "Bacterial small subunit ribosomal RNA", at positions 30 to 299 of the family's 1533-position model. The record is from RNAcentral.
AUUGAACGCUGGCGGCAUGCCUAACACAUGCAAGUCGAACGGCAGCAUGAUGUGUAGCAAUACACAUUGAUGGCGAGUGGCGGACGGGUGAGUAACGCGUAGGAAUCUGCCUUAAAGCGUGGAAUAACUCGGGGAAACUCGAGCUAAUACCGCAUAAUGCCUCAGGGCCAAAGCGGGGGAUCGUAAGACCUCGCACUUUAAGAUGAGCCUGCGUCGGAUUAGCUAGUUGGUAGGGUAAAGGCCUACCAAGGCUAUGAUCCGUAACUGGUCUGAGAGG